This is a non-coding RNA of Caenorhabditis elegans, 211 nucleotides long. NCBI's taxonomy places the organism in Eukaryota, Metazoa, Nematoda, Chromadorea, Rhabditida, Rhabditidae. The record is from Ensembl.
CUUGGGAAUCCAAAAGAAUUACAUGGAAUUACUCGUGUUCAGUCACUGUCUUUUUUUCUGCGCGCGCGAUUUGAAAUGUCUCAGUGUCGCCAGCCGAGGGUGGCCUCAGUGAGCCUGCCAGCCGUGUACCGUAAUUAGACAACCUUCCUCAUUCCCUUGGUUCUCUCUCUCUCUCGAUUGUGACAUUCUAAUUGUUGGUGUCAAAGUAUUU